GGUAGAAUGGCUGAGUUAAAGCAAUAAAUUGUAAAUUUAUUAACGAGAAUCAAUCUCUUCUACCA
RNAcentral lists this transfer RNA (65 nucleotides) under Taeniochauliodes attenuatus. Its description in RNAcentral is "tRNA-Tyr". It matches the Rfam family "tRNA". From Rfam's summary of the family: Transfer RNA (tRNA) molecules are approximately 80 nucleotides in length. Their secondary structure includes four short double-helical elements and three loops (D, anti-codon, and T loops). Further hydrogen bonds mediate the characteristic L-shaped molecular structure. tRNAs have two regions of fundamental functional importance: the anti-codon, which is responsible for specific mRNA codon recognition, and the 3' end, to which the tRNAs corresponding amino acid is attached (by aminoacyl-tRNA synthetases). tRNAs cope with the degeneracy of the genetic code in two manners: having more than one tRNA (with a specific anti-codon) for a particular amino acid; and 'wobble' base-pairing, i.e. permitting non-standard base-pairing at the 3rd anti-codon position. The record is from RNAcentral. Lineage: Eukaryota; Metazoa; Arthropoda; Insecta; Megaloptera; Corydalidae.